CAAUAGCGUAUAUUUAAGUUGUUGCAGUUGAAAGGCUCGUAGUCGGAAUUUAGCGCUUUCUUGAUGGUCCGCCUCUGGUGUGCACUGUCGACGAUUGUGCUUUCUGUCGGGGACGUGUUCCUGGGCUUAACUGUCUGGGACUCGGGCUCGGCGUGGUUACUUUGAGUAAAUUAGAGUGUUCAAAGCAGGCGAUCGCCCUGAAUACAUUAGCAUGGAAUAGCAUGAUAGGACUCUGGCCUGUCUUGCUGGUCUGUAGGACCGGAGUAAUGAUUAAGAGGGACAGUCGGGGGCAUUCGUAUUUCGUUGUCAGAGGUGAAAUUCUUGGAUUUACGAAAGACGAACAUCUGCGAAAGCAUUUGCCAAAGAUGUUUNCAUUGA
This 378-nucleotide ribosomal RNA is filed under the name uncultured eukaryote. Its description in RNAcentral is "partial 18S ribosomal RNA". It matches the Rfam family "Eukaryotic small subunit ribosomal RNA", at positions 592 to 976 of the family's 1831-position model. The record is from RNAcentral.